AUCCUGGCUCAGAGCGAACGCUGGCGGCAGGCUUAACACAUGCAAGUCGAGCGGGCGUAGCAAUACGUCAGAGGCAGACGGGUGAGUAACGCGUGGGAACGUACCUUUUGGUUCGGAACAACACAGGGAAACUUGUGCUAAUACCGGAUAAGCCCUUACGGGGAAAGAUUUAUCGCCGAAAGAUCGGCCCGCGUCUGAUUAGCUAGUUGGUGAGGUAAUGGCUCACCAAGGCGACGAUCAGUAGCUGGUCUGAGAGGAUGAUCAGCCACAUUGGGACUGAGACACGGCCCAAACUCCUACGGGAGGCAGCAGUGGGGAAUAUUGGACAAUGGGGGCAACCCUGAUCCAGCCAUGCCGCGUGAGUGAUGAAGGCCCUAGGGUUGUAAAGCUCUUUUGUGCGGGAAGAUAAUGACGGUACCGCAAGAA
Molecule: ribosomal RNA, 426 nt
Filed under: Bradyrhizobium genosp. SA-2
Lineage: Bacteria; Pseudomonadati; Pseudomonadota; Alphaproteobacteria; Hyphomicrobiales; Nitrobacteraceae
Description: bacterial SSU rRNA
Rfam family: Bacterial small subunit ribosomal RNA
Source: RNAcentral